RNAcentral lists this ribosomal RNA (346 nucleotides) under uncultured eukaryote. RNAcentral's name for it is "SSU rRNA". It matches the Rfam family "Eukaryotic small subunit ribosomal RNA", at positions 594 to 945 of the family's 1831-position model. The record is from RNAcentral.
AUAGCGUAUAUUAAAGUUGUUGCAGUUAAAAAGCUCGUAGUUGAACCUUGGGCCUGGCUGGCCGGUCCGCCUCACCGCGUGCACUGGUCCGGCCGGGCCUUUCCUCCUGGGGAGCCGCAUGCCCUUCACUGGGUGUGUCGGGGAACCAGGACUUUUACUUUGAAAAAAUUAGAGUGUUCAAAGCAGGCAUUUGCUCGAAUACAUUAGCAUGGAAUAAUAGAAUAGGACGUGCGGUUCUAUUUUGUUGGUUUCUAGGACCGAAGUAAUGAUUAAUAGGGAUAGUUGGGGGCAUUAGUAUUUAAUUGUCAGAGGUGAAAUUCUUGGAUUUAUUAAAGACUAACUUCUG